Molecule: long non-coding RNA, 673 nt
Organism: Esox lucius (northern pike)
Lineage: Eukaryota; Metazoa; Chordata; Actinopteri; Esociformes; Esocidae
Source: Ensembl
GCAAAUACAACAAAUCUGCGUGGUGAAAUAUGCUAUUCAAGUCUCUGGGAUAUCAGUGAAGCAAUUAAGGAUCCUAAGUUCACUAAAGACACAUCCAGGAACCUGUAUUUUAAGCUUGAACCGAAUGACUUUUGCUCAAACGUUAGUACAACAUUUGAGCAAAAAACUUGUGAUAACCCCAAUUCCACCUUUAACAUAAUAACGUCCAUCCCAGUUGGUAGGUGCAUUUUGUACAUUUCUAAAUGAGGCCCGGCAAUAAAAUGUGGUGCCAAGAGUGAAGAAUUAGACAUUGCAUCAUAUUUGAUACAAUACAACAUAUAAUGUUUAAAUACGUUGUUUAUGUAGUUAAGUUAAUACUUUAAUGUUAUAAAAUUUAAUUGUUUGCUGUCUUUAACAGAACUUUUCAUGGAUGAGCAAAAAGUUGAUUUGACACACCCACAAGUUCUUCCUGCAAUAUUAAAGUGGACUAAUAAGCCAGUAAAUUGUUCGAGCAAACUCACCUUUAAUUACACCUGUCGGGGGGACAACCAAAAUGAAUUUUUUUCUGCGAUGGUAACUGACAACGAUACUGUUUUGCCUGAGAUGGAACCCUUUACAGCAUACAAUUGUACCAGCCGUAUUCAUGGCAGCAAUAAAAGCUUUGAAAAGACCACACAUUUAAAAAUUGCCUGUG